UUGGAGGGCAAGUCUGGUGCCAGCAGCCGCGGUAAUUCCAGCUCCAAUAGCGUAUAUUAAAGCUGUUGCAGUUAAAAAGCUCGUAGUUGAAUUUCGGGAUCAGUAGGCUGGUCGUGCCUCAGGUACGUACUGGUCUUACUGAUUCCUCCUUCCUGACGAACCGUAAUGCCAUUAAUUUGGUGUUGCGGGGAAUCUGGACUGUUACUUUGAAAAAAUUAGAGUGUUUAAAGCAGGCUAACGCUUGAAUACAUUAGCAUGGAAUAAUGAAAUAGGACGAUCGAUCCUAUUUUGUUGGUUUCUAGGAUUGACGUAAUGAUUAAUAGGGAUAGUUGGGGGCAUUAGUAUUCAAUUGUCAGAGGUGAAAUUCUUGGAUUUAUUGAAGACUAACUACUGCGAAAGCAUUUGCCAAGGAUGUUUUCAUUAAUCAAGAACGAAAGUUAGGGGAUCGAAGACGAUCAGAUACCGUCGUAGUCUUAACCAUAAACUAUGCCGACUAGGGAUCGGAUGAUGUUAAUUUUUUAAUGACUCAUUCGGCGCCUUACGGGAAA
This 548-nucleotide ribosomal RNA is filed under the name uncultured Glomeromycotina. Its description in RNAcentral is "SSU rRNA". It matches the Rfam family "Eukaryotic small subunit ribosomal RNA", at positions 548 to 1097 of the family's 1831-position model. Lineage: Eukaryota; Fungi; Glomeromycota. The record is from RNAcentral.